GAUGAACGCUAGCUACAGGCUUAACACAUGCAAGUCGAGGGGCAGCGGGAUUGAAGCUUGCUUCACUUGCCGGCGACCGGCGCACGGGUGAGUAACGCGUAUCCAACCUUCCGUACACUCAGGGAUAGCCUUUCGAAAGAAAGAUUAAUACCUGAUGGUAUGAUGAGAUUGCAUGAUAUCAUCAUUAAAGAUUUAUCGGUGUACGAUGGGGAUGCGUUCCAUUAGGUAGUAGGCGGGGUAACGGCCCACCUAGCCAACGAUGGAUAGGGGUUCUGAGAGGAAGGUCCCCCACAUGGUAACUGAGACACGGGCCAAACUCCUACGGGAGGCAGCAGUGAGGAAGAUUGGUCAAUGGACGAGAGUCUGAACCAGCCAAGUAGCGUGAAGGAUGAAGGUCCUACGGAUUGUAAACUUCUUUUAUAAGGGAAUAAACCCUCCCACGUGUGGGAGCUUGGAUGUACCUUAUGAAUAGGCAUCGGCUAACUCCGUG
Molecule: ribosomal RNA, 490 nt
Filed under: uncultured bacterium
Lineage: Bacteria
Description: partial 16S ribosomal RNA
Rfam family: Bacterial small subunit ribosomal RNA
Source: RNAcentral